Non-coding RNA from Ictidomys tridecemlineatus (thirteen-lined ground squirrel), 1366 nucleotides. The record is from RefSeq and is a predicted model, not a curated record. Lineage: Eukaryota; Metazoa; Chordata; Mammalia; Rodentia; Sciuridae.
GCCCUGCCCCGAAAGGCGGCCCGAGGCGGGCGGAGAUGAGCGGCGGCAGCGGGCGGGCGGCUGCGCGGGCGCCCUCACCGCACCAGGUGGAAGUGUGUCUGCCUUUCCACUGAAUUCUGAGCUGUUAAGACAGCAAGGACCAGAGUCCUCAGACCUACUUCUGAGUACCCAAAUCCCAGAAUAGAGCCUGGCACGGGGGAGCUUAGGCAAGGAAUGAUGAAUGAAGAAACGAAACGCACUGCGCUCAUAUGGAGAUGAAGAGGAAAUGAGAGACACAAAUUCAAAGGUGGGGAAAAAGGAGAUUAACAGUACAAUCAGUACAAGUUCAAUUUUAAAUGAGCGCGAACAUGAUCCUCUCACGGAGGGCCCUGAAGGCCGUAGUAAGAAGCACGGGCGACAGCUCGUGGGCACCGGGGAGCCACGGAAGGGUGGGGAGCAGGGGAAGGCAGACCGCUAACUCCAAAUGAAUGAAAGUCGCGUUUCUCCGCACAUCACACAAUAUCCUACUCCAAGUCAUUUUCGUCCACAGCAGUUUCCCAAAGAAUCCACCCACAAUGCGCCCCCUACCCGGACCUGGCAUCCCUGCGCUGUGCACACCUCCAAAUUCCAGAUCCUCAAUCUCGUGACCUCCGACCUGCAGUGACCUCUCCAACCGCCGCCGCGGCCCCGCCACGCCCCCGCCCGCCCGAACUCCUCGAUCAGCCACGUACGCCACUUACGCAGCCGGGGCGUCCCCGCCGCCGCCGCCAAGCCUGCCGGGUUCAUCCUUUGCCGCCGCCACCUCAGCCGCAGUUCGUAACGUGGCCGCCCGGCUCCCGUAGCCACGCCCCAGCGGUGACACGACAGCCAAUGGGCUUCAAGAUUGCUCAGAUGGCCACGCCCCCUCUCUCUCACGGAGGCGUGGACGAGUGAGGUGGGGUUUACGUAAGAGGCGGGAACUAGGGCUCUCAGGCGUAAGGAGAGGGGCGGGACCUGAGCGUUAGGGAGGCGGGGCCGGGAACAAUCCUAGGAGUAGGCGUUGUUGGGCAUGACGGGAAAUGUAGGUGUCACGUGUUGAGCGAAGAGGGCGAUGGGAAAUGGAGUUCUCUGCCGCUUGGGACUCUUUUGGGUGGCCGAGAGCACCGGGGAGCCAGCGAAGGGUGUGAAGAAGGGGAGAAGAGGUGCACUUGUGUUUCCGAGGGGCUGAUCGAAGUUGUGCGAGCUCUGACGCUUUGGGCACUCUUUAAGUAUUAAAGUGAAUAUUUAGAGUAGGAAGAAGACACCCAACAGGUUAGGUGAGAAGAACCGGUGUCUUUCUUGGAAGACAGCUUUAGGCAGUUUCCCAGAAAUUUAUUAAAAUGUUCUCUCAACUGGAUUUUCUCUGAAA